RNAcentral lists this ribosomal RNA (510 nucleotides) under uncultured bacterium. RNAcentral describes it as "bacterial SSU rRNA". It matches the Rfam family "Bacterial small subunit ribosomal RNA", at positions 28 to 527 of the family's 1533-position model. The record is from RNAcentral.
GACGAACGCUGGCGGCGUGGAUUAGGCAUGCAAGUCGAACGGUAUCAUCCUUUCGGGGGUGAGAGAGUGGCGAACUGGUGAGUAACACGUAGGUUAUCUACCCUCAAGACGGGGACAACCCAGGGAAACUUGGGCUAAUACCGGAUGUGAGCAACUUUUAGUUGUUUGAAAGGUGGCGUAAGCUGUCGCUUGGGGAUGAGCCUGCGUCCUAUUAGUUAGUUGGUGAGGUAACGGCUCACCUAGGCAAUGAUAGGUAGGCGGCCUUAACGGGUGGUCGCCCACACUGGGAUUGAGAUACGGCCCAGACUCCUACGGGAGGCAGCAGUCGAGAAUAGUCUACAAUGGUCGGAAGACUGAUAGUGCGACGCCGCGUGAACGAUGAAUCCCUUCGGGGUGUAAAGUUCUUUUAUAUGUGAGCAGUGCUUCUUAUAUUAACAGUAAUGGGGAGAGGAGAUAUUAGCAUAUGAAUAAGCAACGGCUAACUCCGUGCCAGCAGCCGCGGUAAACUCG